Molecule: long non-coding RNA, 618 nt
Filed under: Helianthus annuus (common sunflower)
Lineage: Eukaryota; Viridiplantae; Streptophyta; Magnoliopsida; Asterales; Asteraceae
Description: sRNA HanXRQr2_Chr03g0133011
Source: RNAcentral
UUAAUAAAAAGAAAAUUUGACUCAAAACACACACAAGGUGUGUGUUCUGGUCGAUGUUUACACAUAGCAAGAAAGGGGUUCCUUCUUUUGAACCCUAAACUCACUAUUUGAUCAAAAUCAGAGGGAAAACAAGCUAGGAAUUUGGGGCUUUUACUAAAUUCGCGAUCACCAAGACAAGGGGGUUGUAAGUUUGAUCCCGUCAAGCUAAGUGGGAGCUGGCAAGGAAUGGAUCAAACGGGUCAAGUGCGCAAGGAAAGCUCGAACGGACGCAAACUGUGAAUGUCGAGAGUCCCGGAUGAAGAUCAAGCAUCGAACAAGAACCGAACAUACGUUAAACAAAGCUUCCGCAAUGUUGUUUUGUCGUUAUUCUAAACGGCGAAUUAAAUCACAUUAUGUAUAUCACUUAAAUUGUAAAAGUUUUUAACAACCCGUAUUUCUGAUGUAUAUGUAAUUAUUAAUUACAUGAUUAUUUCGCUAAAUAUACGUUAAACCUUGAUUUAUAAGAACGGGUGUUACAAGUUGGUAAUCAGAGCUCAAGGUGAAAAGAAUAAAGUGUUCGGUUCAAGGCUUGAUCGCAAAUCCGGUAGGACACUCGCGUUUGAAGACGACGAGAGUCAA